This is a non-coding RNA of Podarcis lilfordi (Lilford's wall lizard), 1236 nucleotides long. Lineage: Eukaryota; Metazoa; Chordata; Lepidosauria; Squamata; Lacertidae. The record is from the annotation of a GenBank genome assembly.
GGCUGCGCUCGUUUCUCUCCGGUCGGGGACAGAGGGUGGCGCUUGGGGGAAUUGUCAUCCCGCCACUCCUUGGUGUGUGGAGUGCCUCAGGGUGCGAUACUCUCCCCGAUGCUUUUUAACAUCUUUAUGCGCCCCCUCGCCCAGCUUGUCCGGAGUUUUGGGCUGGGUUGCCAUCAGUAUGCCGAUGACACCCAACUCUAUCUGUUGAUGGAUGGCCAUCCUGACUCGGCCCCAGACACACUGACCAGAUGUUUGGAAGCUGUGGCUGGAUGGUUACGCGGAAGCCGGUUGAAGUUAAAUCCUUCGAAGACAGAGGUCCUCUGGCUGGGACGGGACGAUAUGGGAUUGGGGGGGCAACUCCCAUCUCUUGCGAGGGUGCAAUUAGUGCCAGCACCGUCCGUUAAGAGUUUGGGUGUAAUCUUCGAUACCUCCCUCUCUAUGGAGGCGCAGAUUACAGCUAUAACAAAGGCGGCAUUUUUCAUCUCCGCCAAGCUAAGCAGUUGGCCCCUUAUCUCUCUCGCCCUGACCUAGCCACUGUGAUCCACGCGACGGUCACCUCCAGACUGGAUUAUUGUAACUCGCUCUACGUGGGGCUGCCCUUGAGACUGACCCAGAAACUCCAGCGGGUGCAGAAUGCCGCGGCGAGACUCCUUAUGGGGUCUUCGCUGCGAGAUCACAUUCAUCCGGUACUAUACCAGCUGCACUGGCUCCCGGUGGAGUACAGGAUCAGGUUUAAGGUGCUGGUUUUAACCUUUAAAGCCCUAUACGGCCUAGGACCCUCGUACCUACGGGACCGCCUCUCCUGGUAUGCCCCACAGAGGAACCUACGGUCUGCAAAUAAAAACAUCCUGAAGGUCCCAGGCCUCAGAGAGGUUAGGCUGGCCUCAACUAGAGCCAGGGCUUUCUCGGCUGCGGCUCCAAUCUGGUGGAACGCUCUGUCACAAGAGACUAGGGCCCUGCGGGACCUGACAUCUUUCCGCAAGGCCUGCAAGACAGAGUUGUUCAACCAGGCCUUUGGUCAGGGCCCAGCCUGACUCCCACCUCCGGCAACCUGCACAGAACUUUGCUUAACGGUUGCCAUUAAUUUGAUUUUAAUUAAUUUUUAUAAUGAAAUGUUUUAGAAUGUUGGAUUAUUUGAUUGUUUGAUUAUUUGUUUGUUGUUAGCCGCCCUGAGCCUGGCUUUGGCUGGGGAGGGCGGGAUAUAAAUAAAAUUUAUUAUUAUUAUUAUUAUUAUUA